GAGCCUGUUAAAAUGGAGGUCGAUGUGAAGGACGAUGGAGAGGAGGAAGAUGUGAAAAUAAGUCACGAACUUCGUGUAGGAUCAGAGUUGGAAGAGUAUAAUAUUGAAUUAAGUCUUGGUGGACUGGAUAAUUCAGGGAAAGAUGAUGGUGGAAAAGAGGGAAAGGAACAAGUGGGUGAUGAGGAUACUAUGGAUUUUGA
RNAcentral lists this unclassified non-coding RNA (200 nucleotides) under Hevea brasiliensis (rubber tree). Lineage: Eukaryota; Viridiplantae; Streptophyta; Magnoliopsida; Malpighiales; Euphorbiaceae. The record is from RNAcentral.